CUGCGUCUUCAAAAGGCCA
Molecule: non-coding RNA, 19 nt
Filed under: Mus musculus (house mouse)
Lineage: Eukaryota; Metazoa; Chordata; Mammalia; Rodentia; Muridae
Source: RNAcentral